RNAcentral lists this small RNA (38 nucleotides) under Arabidopsis thaliana (thale cress). Lineage: Eukaryota; Viridiplantae; Streptophyta; Magnoliopsida; Brassicales; Brassicaceae. The record is from RNAcentral.
AAGUGGUGACAGGUAAUAGCUCUGGUCGAGUGAAGGAC